Biomphalaria pfeifferi is the source of this 306-nucleotide non-coding RNA. NCBI's taxonomy places the organism in Eukaryota, Metazoa, Mollusca, Gastropoda, Planorbidae. The record is from the annotation of a GenBank genome assembly.
ACAAACAAAAAAAAAAAACGCUUUCAUAAAUAUAUCUCUGAAUUAAGAUCUACAGAGCUGAGUUUCUUAUUUGAAAUGUGGACCAGUUAAGAAUACAAUAAUUUAUACAAGUUAACAAUGAUACUUUAAUUAAACAACAAAAAUCCUUCACAGGAGAAAAAAAAGUGCUUUUUUUUUUAGCAAUUACCAGUUUGAAAAAUAUAAUGGUGUGUUUCUUUCCACAUAUUUAUAUAUGUGUGAUAGGCAGUUCAGAAAAAUGUUCAGCUUGGAAUACAGUUAACUCUUGAUCCAACACUUUUUAAUCUG